GAUAGAGAUUGCAUAAUGUGUAGGCCUGGUAAGGAACUUGUGUAUUUCUAUGAAGGGUUAAUUAUAAUAAUAACAACAAUAAUAAUUAUGAUAAUAAUAAUACCAAAACAUAAUUAUUUUCUGGUUUUCUUUUCAACAGGAUAUCGUGUACAUAGUCAUUGUACUAUAUCUAAACAUACACCUUUCUGUGUGGCCUGUAUUGACUCCACCUUCCUUGAUGAGCCCAGUGGUAAAACAACAUGCAACAGCUGUACCACAUGUGAUCCAGGUUUGGGUUUGAAGGUAAAGCAGUCAUGUAGACCUUCAUCAGACAAAGUCUGUGGGACACUGGAGGGGUUCUACUGUCUAGACCCAACUAAGGAUGGUUGUAGAGCAGCCCAGAGACACAGCAGCUGUAAACCUGGUCAAUACAUCAGUCACACUGGAACAACAUCUACAGAUACUGUGUGUUCUGACUGUACUGGUGAUACCUAUUCAGAUGGAUCAUUAACAGCCUGCCAGACAUACACACAGUGUAAAUCUUUAGGUCUUCAAGAACUUAGACCAGGAACUAAUUUGUCCAAUUCUGAAUGUGGACCACAAUCCUCAAAAAUUCAAACUGGUAUCAUCAUUGGUGUUGUUGUGGCAUCAGUCCUAAUAGCUCCUGCAAUAA
This is a non-coding RNA of Salmo salar (Atlantic salmon), 652 nucleotides long. The record is from RefSeq and is a predicted model, not a curated record. Lineage: Eukaryota; Metazoa; Chordata; Actinopteri; Salmoniformes; Salmonidae.